RNAcentral lists this ribosomal RNA (492 nucleotides) under uncultured bacterium. RNAcentral's name for it is "partial 16S ribosomal RNA". It matches the Rfam family "Bacterial small subunit ribosomal RNA", at positions 29 to 507 of the family's 1533-position model. The record is from RNAcentral.
AGUGAACGCUGGCGGUAGGCCUAACACAUGCGAGUCGAACGGCAGCACAGUAAGAGCUUGCUCUUACGGGUGGCGAGUGGCGGACGGGUGAGGAAUACAUCGGAAUCUACUUUUUCGUGGGGGAUGACGUAGGGAAACUUACGCUAAUACCGCAUACGACCUACGGGUGAAAGCAGGGGAUCUUCGGACCUUGCGCGAUUGAAUGAGCCGAUGUCGGAUUAGCUAGUUGGCGGGGUAAAGGCCCACCAAGGCGACGAUCCGUAGCUGGUCUGAGAGGAUGAUCAGCCACACUGGAACUGAGACACGGUCCAGACUCCUACGGGAGGCAGCAGUGGGGAAUAUUGGACAAUGGGCGCAAGCCUGAUCCAGCCAUACCGCGUGGGUGAAGAAGGCCUUCGGGUUGUAAAGCCCUUUUGUUGGGAAAGAAAAGCAGCAGGUUAAUACCCCGCUGUUCUGACGGUACCCAAAGAAUAAGCACCGGCCAACUUCGUG